RNAcentral lists this long non-coding RNA (372 nucleotides) under Panax ginseng (ginseng). RNAcentral describes it as "long non-coding RNA (PGIN_LNC016396)". Lineage: Eukaryota; Viridiplantae; Streptophyta; Magnoliopsida; Apiales; Araliaceae. The record is from RNAcentral.
UGAUGAUGAAAAGGGAUUUUGCAUCUUUAGCAGCGUUAUAUAAUGAACCAAGCUUCUUAAACUCCUAGUAUUAUGACAUGUUGAGCUAUUCUUCACCGAGGAGGAACUCGGUAUCUCAAGAAAUUCUUCACUUUCUUCUUCGAUUAUUGUUUCGAGGGUUUUUGGAGUUUGAAUCCUCGAAACGAGAAGAUGGUGGCAAGCCGGUGAAACGGCUGACAACGGAGUCCGAGGCGAGGCCCGGGGGAUUUCAAUCUUUGGACGUCGGAGGACUUGUGUUGAUGAGAAUAUAAUAUUCGACAUUUUUUCUUGAUUUAAGUUGAGCAAAUUCUAUAUAUGUAGGUUUGGUUAUGGCCUAUGGGAGGGAGAGGAGAG